RNAcentral lists this ribosomal RNA (253 nucleotides) under uncultured bacterium. RNAcentral describes it as "partial 16S ribosomal RNA". It matches the Rfam family "Bacterial small subunit ribosomal RNA", at positions 524 to 776 of the family's 1533-position model. The record is from RNAcentral.
UACAGAGGGGGCAAGCGUUAUUCGGAAUUAUUGGGCGUAAAGCGUGCGUAGGCGGAUCGUUAAGUGCCUUGUGAAAUCCCACGGCUCAACCGUGGAACUGCUUGGCAUACUGGCGGUCUUGAGCAACCUAGGGGCGAGCGGAACAAAUGGUGGAGCGGUGAAAUGCGUAGAUAUCAUUUGGAACGCCAAUGGUGAAAACAGCUCGCUGGGGGUUUGCUGACGCUGAGACACGAAAGCCAGGGGAGCAAACGGG